UUAACUUUUAGUGUAAUUGCACAAAAAAUUUUGAUUUUUUAAGUAAUAAUUAAAAAUUAUUAAAGUUAAU
RNAcentral lists this transfer RNA (70 nucleotides) under Amblyomma geoemydae. RNAcentral's name for it is "tRNA-Glu". Lineage: Eukaryota; Metazoa; Arthropoda; Arachnida; Ixodida; Ixodidae. The record is from RNAcentral.